UACGUAGGGUGCAAGCGUUAAUCGGAAUUACUGGGCGUAAAGCGUGCGCAGGCGGUUGUGCAAGACAGAUGUGAAAAUCCCCGGGCGUUAACCUGGGAACGUGCAUUUGUUGACUGCACGGCUAGAGUGUGUCAGAGGGGGGUAGGAAUUCCACGUGUAGCGGUGAAAUGCGUAGAGAUGAGGAGGAACACCAGUGGCGAAGGCGGCCACCUGGACAGUAACUGACGCUGGGGCGCGAAAGCGUGGGGAGCAAACAGGAUUAGAA
This 265-nucleotide ribosomal RNA is filed under the name uncultured bacterium. Its description in RNAcentral is "partial 16S ribosomal RNA". It matches the Rfam family "Bacterial small subunit ribosomal RNA", at positions 524 to 783 of the family's 1533-position model. The record is from RNAcentral.